AGGAAGGUCAGCCUGUUUCAGUCCAAGUUUUUGCUGCAAAGCUUCCUUGGCUGCUGUUUUGCCUUCAACAACAUUUUCCGAGGUGUACGGAAUCGGAAUGAACUUAUCAUUUAAAGGAUCCCAAAUAUCUGGGUCAAUCCCAUUCACUAUACCAUGGAACUUGUGAAGGUGAGGCGCAAUUACAGGGUUUCCAGACACCUCCUGUGAGUAAGUUGGUGAAACUGUUGUAGCUUUGUCUGCAUGAGUCAUUGCUCUCCCAAUGAGAUCUGCCCCAAAUUCAAGAUUAUGUAUCGUGAAGACUAUACGAGAUUUGCUUAGACCAUAGUGUGUAUAUUGUUCCUUAAAGAGCCAAGCAACAGGAGCACUAGACCAAUCAUGGCAAUGAAUGAUAUCCGGACUAAAUCCACCUUGCAGAAGGAACUCCAAAGCCGCAUGACAGAAGAAACCAAAUCGUUCACCGUCGUUGCUACAACCAUAUACGCACCCUUUCCAAAAUAACCCGUUUUGAGGCUCCAAAAAAUAGACCGAGAGUCCUUCCACCUUUCCAAACCAUACUUUUAUUUCAGUCCCACCCCAAAAGUAGCUUUUGUGAAACCGAAAGUCCUUCACAUUAUUCAUCUUCAAACAGUCAUACUUAGGUAAUAUAAUAUCCA
Molecule: unclassified non-coding RNA, 653 nt
Filed under: Hevea brasiliensis (rubber tree)
Lineage: Eukaryota; Viridiplantae; Streptophyta; Magnoliopsida; Malpighiales; Euphorbiaceae
Source: RNAcentral